GUGGUACAUAUAAAGGGAUUAAUCUGCUUUAUUUUUCAUACUCAUGUAAUUGAUAUAUUUUAUUAUGAAUAAAAUUGAGGUAUUUUUAUUUUAUCAUAUGCUGUGUAUUGUUCUAUUAAAUUAUGAUAUACCCAAUAAAUUAGGACAAUGGUUUUAGAGUAAUAAUAAAAUAAUAUCAGUGAGACCUAAAAUCUUAAAAUCUUAAUCUAAAAUUUUUUCAGUCAUAGGAUCA
Molecule: long non-coding RNA, 232 nt
Filed under: Elaeis guineensis (African oil palm)
Lineage: Eukaryota; Viridiplantae; Streptophyta; Magnoliopsida; Arecales; Arecaceae
Description: long non-coding RNA (EGUI_LNC041719)
Source: RNAcentral